GUCCAGAGAGGAAGGUUCAUACUGGCAAGAAGUAAAUUCAGUAGGCAGGAGAAAUCUUCAUGGCUAAAAUCUCAUGCAGGGUCAAACUGUCUGGGUUUGAAUUCUGGAUCUAUCACUUACUAGCUGAUGAUUGUACCUCUGAAGUCUCAAAGCAUCUUACAGAGCCAUUUGGGAGAUUUUUUGAGUCCAUUUAUGUAGGGCACAUAGCACAGUUCCUGGCAUAUUAGCGCCACCCUGUAAAUGUCAGCUACUAUCAGUAGAGGUGGUGGAGAACCCUAUAUGAAAUGGAUUUGAAUGCCAAAAUGAGAAGUCAGAACUUGACCUUGUAAGUAAAAUGAAAGCUAUCAUUGUUUUUUUAUUUGUUUUUUAGUGGAUUUGAGAUAUGAUAUAGAUGAUGUUUCAGUAAGAUUGAUCUGGUGGCAUUUAUGGUAGAGGAUGAGUUGGAGAAAGGAAGCAGGAGGACGGGAAGGCAGCUGGGAGGUUACUGGCAUAGUUGGGGCGUGAAGCACUAAAAGUCUGCACAGAGAAAUUUUAAAGAGAAAAAAUCAUUGGGAUACUGGAUCUUAAUCAUUUGGGGUCAUAGGCUUCCUAGUCUAUCUCACAAAAACUAUGGAUCCUCUUCUCACAAAUGUGCAUAUACUGUUGCACACGAGCACAAAAAUCUGCAUGCAAUUUCAGGGGUUCAAGAAGCCCUCCCUUAGAACCCAGAUGUAGGGAAUAAAAGAAAAGGCAGAGAAUGAAUGUACUAUCAUGAAGAAGUACAAUAAUAAUAUAAUAAAAUAAAAACAGCAGUAUGAUAAAGUGAAUCUAAUAGAUUACAUUGGAUAUAUAAUAUUGCUACUUUGUAUUUAUGUUUGGGAACUGUUUCGUAAUUUUAGUUUGCCCCACAGAGAUGGACAUAUUUUUAUAUCUCAACUGUAAUAAUUGUAUUUUCUUUCAUCUUUGAUUUUUUUUCCUAAAAAAUAUUACUUCAUUGAACUGAUCUGUCAAAUGCGACUUUCACACUCAACUGUUAUCACGUGAGCUAAUUACAAUGCUAAUUAGCCCAGUUUACGGGGACUGCUGUGCAUUUGUACACGAGGGUUCUUUGUUUGAUCUGCUACAUCAUAAGCUUACCAGCACGGAGGGAUAGCAUGUAUCGUUGAACGUGGAAGAACACACCUUCAUUUGUGUUAAUGAAGAAAACUACUGAAAACCAACAGACUAAUUAAGGGUAACGAUGAACAAUUUUGAUCAGCAAUUAUUUUUUAAUAUCGAAGUUCGCUCCUGGAAAGAGUAGAAUGGGGAAGUUCAUCUUCCAGCUUUCUACCCAGAAAAGUAGUGAGAGAGAGAUCCUGCUUCAUUUCCAAUUCUUCUCCCACAAACUGUUUUAACAUAUAAUUUAAUCGAUGCCUUUAUUUCAAAAGAAAAAAAUAAUUAUAGAGCUUGUUGGGAUCAUUUUCUGAAGAGAGGACAUUAUGCGUGCAUGAAUUCCAUCGGUGAUCUGAGGAGGAGCAGGCUGCUUGGACCAUUACCCAUCAUUGUCGAACAGCAGAGUAAUUAAUUGGGCAAAUACGUCUAGAUCUGGUGAAUUCACAUGCACAGUAACUGGGCAGCAGCAACACACACUCUUUUACUGUGAAUAAAAUAGCAAUAGUUUUAUGUGCCUUUGUGCUAUGUAAAAUGUCUUUUUUUUUCCUCUUGGCUUUAUCCAUUCCAGAUUAUUUUGUCCAUCUUUAUGUACUCAUUUGAAAAGAGGUUGCUUAUUACAAAGGAAAAAGAUAUCUAGAUGAGCAAGUUUGAAUUCCAUGUCUCUGUUUAUUUUUAAAGGAAUGAAUUGGGUUCAUUAUUCUUUCACUAAUUUUUAAAAUAAUUUAAUAUUUUCACUAAAAUGAGUUAAAUGAGCAUGAGGAAAUAGUAUUUUUUAAACUAGUUCCAGGAAUGGACAAGCUCCUAAAAAAAUUAUUAAGGCCUUCUAAUUACCGUACAAUAUUAAUUCAAAAAUUUAAUUUUUUAUUUAAGUGUCAUCUACAGAGGUAAAAAAUAAGGCACAGCAUUUGUCCUGGAGAAACUUCUUAUAAUAGUCCUCUGUAAAGUAUAGAUAAUCAAACAAUCUAACACUGUUUAUUUGAACAUCAAAAAGUGGACAAAUAUUUAGAGGAAAUAAUAUAAUUGUUUUAAUGCAAAUCAUCUCUGAUGGCUAAGUCCAAAUGUAAUAAGAAAGCUUAGGUUUUGAUUUAAAAGGAAGUCAAUUUUCCAGCAUCUCCCCUUCUGAAGAGGUUAAAUGAUGAUUCUUUUUUUUUUUUUUUCCGAUCACAUUUUAAUCCAGAUGACAGAGGACUUGCACUCCUAAUUCAGACUUUCUGGUAAAGCUCAGCUUGUCACAAUGUAUAGCUUUCUUUUCUUUGAUAAGGUCAGUUUGCCAAAAAGAACAAAGUGCAUAUGAGUAAUACAUUACUCAACCACUUGUAUACAUACAUCUAUUUUUCUUACCAGGUCUCACUAUUCAGAAAGGUACAGACAUGGCACCAUGAUAAAAAGGGUCAUUUAAAAGACUUCGCAGAGGCUCUGUACUGUGAAGGAUUGAAUUUUCACUUGAAUGCCUACAUUUUCACAUCUUUUUCUUUGCAGAAAUAUUCCUUUUGAAUGGCAGACUGCAAUUGGGUAGGUUUUUUUUUUUUUAAGUCACUGACCAGGAAUAUAUAAAAUAUUAGAAGGCAUUUGUCCCAGUGGAAGAACACAGUUCACUACCAGGUACCAGGUGGUUAUUAAGAAAGUUAUACAACUUUAUCUCUUCAGAUUGAAGAGCUCCUUCAGAUAAAAGCCUUAAGUUCAGUCAAGGUGGAAGGAACACUAAGGUCUGUCACUUCUAAAUGACAGACAAUUUAAAUAACUUGUGAAAUCAUUAGCCUCAAAGCCAUCUACCUAGUAAUUUUUCAUAAUCACAUCCAAUGUGUAUUCUUAGGAACACACAAGCAGACUCCAGUUUAUCUUUCUAUCUACUUCAAUAUUUGAUCACAACAUUUUGAGAAAUAUGCUCAUGACUAAUUUUAAAACCUCUAAUUUUUCUUUAAUGGUUUUAUAUUUCCCAAAUACACUUAAAGGGGUGGGGAGGAGAGAAAAGUCUAUUAAAUACACUGAAACUUUUUAAUAUUGGUUACUGGAUUCCCUAAGGAGUUAGUGUAAAUUCAGUUCAGUUGAAUGAAACAGAUAUUUCUUCAUCUCCUACUAUCAGUAUGGUAUUGUGCUGGGAUUACGGGGAGAAAUAGGAAUGAAUAAAGCACCUUCUCUACGCUUAAGGAUUCUAGAAUCUAUAAAAAAAGUAAGGUGCAUAACCAUAAUAAAAGCUAGAAUAUGAUGAAUAAGAACAGAAAGUCACAAAAUUCUGUCAGAAUAUAUCAAUGAGAUUUUGUCUGGCUGUAUCAAGGAUGACAUCAUAGAGGAGAGAGCACUUAAACACUGCCUUGAAAGAUGCAUUCAGUUGGCCUGCAGUGGAGAAGGACAGAAUAGUCUGAUAGAAUUGCUACAUUCUGGAAAGGAAAAUGCCAAGAGAAAAAGCAUCCAGGUGGGAAAAAUGCAGGAAUGUUGGUGUGACAUGGAGUCCAAUAUAAGCGAGACAGAGGGGGAAUAUAAGUUGCUUGAGGAGGAGUGAUGAAAAUCAAGUGUGAACAACUAUGUUGACACUUGAUGUUACUAAGGAGUUUGGUUGUGAUUCUACAGGCAAUUGAGAGCUUCAGAGCAACACAAUGUCUAACAGAACUGUGAUUUGUGUAGCUUGUAAAAUAUUGUUUCUUUCUUCUCAUGUAUAAUUUAUCUGUUUUUUCCUAUACUGUUAACGAUUUUUCUUGAACUUUAAUUCUAUUUUUUUCCCUUUCCUGUUGGAACUAAACCAGAGGACUAUAGAUGUCAUGGACAAUAUAUCCCCCACUCAAGUAUUCAUGUCCAAACUAAAUUGUUAAGAAACUUCACACUAACAAUAAUGAUUUUAUAACUCUAAGUCUAGUGGCAAUUGUGUAUUGUUAUUUUAAAAAAUACUUAGAAUUACUUAAUUACUUCUGAGUUAUGUGGAAUCAGAAAUACAUUUCUUUGAAAGUGAAACAGGAUAUCUUGUUCAUAUUGUAUAACAAAACUGGAUGAAAAGGUAUUUUUUGGGCUUUUAAGAAAUAAACUUGCAA
Molecule: long non-coding RNA, 4154 nt
Organism: Homo sapiens (human)
Lineage: Eukaryota; Metazoa; Chordata; Mammalia; Primates; Hominidae
Source: Ensembl